UACACGCUGUGACUAGCAUAUCAAUAAGCGGAGGAAAAGAAACUAACAAGGAUUCCCCUAGUAACGGCGAGUGAAGCGGGAAGAGCUCAAAUUUGAAAUCUUAAAGGGUUUCCCUUUACGAAUUGUAGUUUAAAGAAGUGUUUUCUGUUGAGGUUUUGGUAAAAGUUCUUUGGAAUAGGACAUCAUAGAGGGUGAGAAUCCCGUAUUUGACCUUUACUUUCAACUUUGUGAUACACUUUCAAAGAGUCGGAUUGUUUGGGAAUGCAGUCCAAAAUGGGUGGUAAAUUUCAUCUAAAGCUAAAUAUUGGCGAGAGACCGAUAGCGAACAAGUACCGUGAGGGAAAGAUGAAAAGAACUUUGAAAAGAGAGUUAAACAGUACGUGAAAUUGUCAAAAGGGAAGCGUUUGACACCAGUGUUGUUUUUCUGAAAAUCAAUUAAAGAACUGUUUAUGCUAAGCUGUUUAGACUUUAUCAGCUAUCUGUUUAGUUUUGAGCUUUUCUUUAAUGCACUUUUCAGUUAACAAGUCAACAUCAAUUUCUUUUGCUGUAAAAAAGCUUGAGGAAGGUGGCUUGAGAUUCGUCUUAAGUGUUUAUAGCCUCUUGCCUAUGCAGUCGGAGAGAUUGAGGUCUGCAGCGUAGAUCCUUCGGGGCUAAAUGCAUUUGUGCUAAGUUAUAGCAUUUAUAGACAACUUGUUGACUAUGAUUUGUCUUGUAGCUUACUCGCUUAUGUUAUUUUACCUACGCUUAGGAUGUUGACGCGCGUGUGUGCGUG
Molecule: ribosomal RNA, 772 nt
Filed under: uncultured Neocallimastigales
Lineage: Eukaryota; Fungi; Neocallimastigomycota; Neocallimastigomycetes; Neocallimastigales
Description: partial large subunit ribosomal RNA
Rfam family: Eukaryotic large subunit ribosomal RNA
Source: RNAcentral